Molecule: non-coding RNA, 140 nt
Organism: Mus musculus (house mouse)
Lineage: Eukaryota; Metazoa; Chordata; Mammalia; Rodentia; Muridae
Source: Rfam
CCCCCCAGCAAUGGGCAAAGAGACGCCUUGUUGGUGGUGUUCUUAUAUCAGUCCUGGGCAAAGCACAGGACAGUUAUAUGUUCAUCUUAACUUGAUGCCUGGCUCAGUGGUCAAAGCUGUUUUAUGCCUGGGACUCAUAA